AUACUGUUUUCGCCGUGACGUCGCCUCUUCUCCUUGCGACGCCGAGAUUCUUCUCCCCGCACGAAUGAGAAGUCGUCGACAGACGAGGAGGGAGACCGGUGCAGGUACUCCUCUUCUUCUCCUUUUUCUUUCUUCCCCUUCUCCCUCUUCUUUCUUCUCCCUCGAUCACCCCUCUUCUUUCUUCCUCUCGGUAGCAGGCGAAAACAGCCCAAUCGACAAUACCGCCCGGUAGCAGGCGGUCCGUAUACCGGUCUAUUGGUGGACCGGUUCGUAUCGCCCGGUACGGGCGGUAUUAUUCGAAAUUGAAGACCUUGAAUAUUAGUAUCAUGGAAAUGGGGCAAUGUUAUUAUGAUUUAUAGGGCUAGAUGGACCUACUAUCGAUAAUUUGGUAUCAAGCAUUGUUGUAUUAUUAGGUCAAUAAUAAUGCUGAACAAGCAGAAGGAGAUUAUUUUCAAAGAGCCUAAAACUGCUCACUUAUCACUUUAUUUAUCUCACAUUGUUCAUUUUCAUGUUUCUUUCAAUUAUCCUAUAUUGUUAAUUAGCUAGUUUUCAAAGCCUAGAUUAGCAUAAAUAAAGGUCUCCUCUAAGCCUAUGGAAUCAUCUAAAAAUAUCUUCAAGUAUUGUAAAGGUUUUCUCCAUCAUAAGGAGUUAAUUUCCUUCGUCCUCCCUUAUAAGGUCAAUUUACUAUAAUCCUUUCUAAUAGUAAUUUCUUAAUUUUGUUUCCUUUCUACACUAGUUGGUAUUAUAGUCUUGCUCUUGGUGUUAGCAUAAUAGGUUUGUGGUUAGGAAAUUAAGAAGUAUGCUCUACACUCGCCACUUAUAGUGGAUCUUGUAUAUCAAAAACUUAAUUUGCUAAGUACAAUCCUAUUACCCAUCAAUAUGAGGUUUGGUGGCAAUAAUGCGACAACUACGACGGUGUUAUCGGUGAUGGCAGUGGCAAUUUUGGUAGUGACGACAUUCGUGAUGAAGGCAAUGACAACAACCCCAAUAACAAUGAUCGAGGAGUGCUAGCCUUAUGGGUGAUGCUAGAAGUACAAUAAGCUAGGAUGACCUAGGAACUCCGAGAGAUUCGCGACAUGCUCACUAACUUGGGCUGAAGCACUAAUAAAGUUCGUGAUGGUAGGAUUAAUCGUGUCGGAGUUGAUGCUAAUCGCCAGUCUAGUCAUCAACACAAGCCUGCAAUCCAACGUAGGCAACCAGCCUAUGAAGAUGAGUAAAAUGAAGGAGAAGAAGAAGGAAUUAUGGACUGUCAUAGAACCAACCAAAAAAGAGGUGCAGGUGCAGCUCAACCUCGACACUUCAAUUGACAUGGUACUAUUCACCCACAACAACCAACAGUAUAUGAUGAUGACUUAGAAGAUGACAGUGAAAAAUACAUAAGACAUCAAGCACCAUCUAGACGAAAUAGGUUAUUUGAGGAUUAUUGCCUCAGAGUAGACCUCCCCAAUUUUAAUGGCCACCUCAGUAUUGAAGCUUUUCUUGAUUGGAAUUAUGACGUAGAGAACUUCUUCGAGGUGAUGGAUGUUCCUGAUCACAAACAAGUUAAGCUUGUUGCAUACAAGUUGAAAGGAGGUGCAACAGUUUGGUGGGAUACAUUACAGAAUAACAAAAGAAGACAAGGAAAGACACCAGUACAGACAUGGCGAAAGAUGAAGCAACUUCUUGAAGGAAGAUUCCUACCCCCAGACUAUGAACAACUAUUGUUCCAACAAUACCAAAACUACAUCCUAGGCACUCGAUCUGUAAUUGAGUAUACUAAUGAAUUCUUACGCCUUUCAGCCAGAUGUAACUUAUCAGAGUUAGAAGACCAACCGACAACAAGGUACGUCAACGAAUUGAAAUAUGCAAUUAAAGAUAGAAUGCCUUAAACUCCGAUAUGGAUAAUAGAUAAAGCUCACAAUAUGGCAUUAAAGGCAGAAAUGUUGUUGACUCGACCUCCAAUUGCUACCCGACAAUGCUCUACUCCAACAACACAACCUGGUCUUAACAAAGAGAAGCAAGUUGUGACCGAGUCAAUACAACCUGCAAAUCAAGGCACAAAUAUCAGAGGAGCAACAAAGCAAGCUAAGCAUAUCUCGACUACCACAAACAAUCCAUAUGCUCGACCCCUGGUUGGGAAAUGUUUCAAAUGUGGGGAGUCUGGUCAUCAUUCCAACGAUUGUCGUGCUCAUAAGACUGUCAACCUUACAGAUCACAAAGAUGACUUUGAAGAAGAAGGAGAUGCCCAAAAUGAUACGAUUAAUGAUAUUGACAAUGCUGAAAUAGUAGAGGAAGAAGGAGAACACGUCGCAUGUGUUGUAAAAAGAUUAUUACUCACCCAAGGCAAGAAGAUCCAUCUCAGUAUAAGAAAAUCUUUCAUUCUCAAUGUAAUGUUAAAAACAAAGUAUGCAUUGAUCAUAGACGGUGGAAGCUGUGACAACAUUAUAUCUAAAUCACUGGUGAGGCACUUAAAAUUACAGACGGAAGCUCAUCUAACACCAUACAAACUAGGGUGGAUUAAAGAAGGCCCAACUGUCACUGUAACUAAGAUAUGUAAAACUCUCUUAAUUGGAAAAAGCUACAAGGAGGAAGUUAUAUGUGAGGUAGUUGAUAUGGAUGCGUGCCAUGUGCUACUUGGAAGGCUAUGGCAAUAUGAUGUGAAUGCAACCCACUUUGGAAGGAAGAAUGUCUAUGUAUUCUGGUGGAACGGGAAGAAGAUUGCUAUUCUACCGACUAAUAGAAAGGGAGAUGAAUCUAACACUUCUAAAGUGGAGGGGAAGUCUUUCUUAUCCAAUUCUAACUCUGUGCAGGAAUUCAUUGUCAAUUCUAAAGAAACAAGAGUAUGCUAUGCUAUUAUUAUGAAAGGAGAAGAGCCACCUGAAGCAAAGAUUCCAAACGAACUAAGAUUGAUAUUGGAAGAAUUCAAAGAGAUCACUCUUGAAAGAUAGAAGCUGGAGGAUGUGCAUGGAUAGUAGAGUCAUCAACCAAAUCACGGUCAGGUAUCGGUUUCCUAUAUCUCGAUUAAAAGAUAUGUUGAAUCAACUACAAGGCUCCAAGAUAUUCUCAAAGAUUGAUCUAUGUAGCGGAUAUCAUCAAAUUUGCAUAUGGCCCGGAGACGAAUGAAAGACGACAUUCAAGACAAGAGGAGACUUAUAUGAAUGGUUAGUUAUAUCAUUUGGUUUUUCCAAUUAUAACCAUGAUGGUUACUUAUUCAAAGGUAAUAAGCUAUGCAUUCCGAGGAUGCCCUUAUGAGAAAAAAUUAUUCAAGAUUUACACAGAGGACUCAACGGACAUUUCGGGCAAGACAAAACGAUAGCAAGCAUCGAGGAGAGGUACUUUUGGCCCCAGUUAAAAAGGGAUGAUGGCAAUUUUGUAAAAAAAAGUCCAACUUGUCAAACUGCAAAGGGCCAAUGGCAGAACAUUGGUUUAUAUAUGCCACUACCAGUUCCAGAAGACGUUUGGGAGGAUUUAUACAUGGAUUUUGUAUUGGGAUUACCAAAACUCAGAGGGGAGUUGAUUUAACGCAAGUUUGCAGUUUAGUAGCAUAACUCACCUACAAACUAAUGGUCAAACAGAGGUAACUAAUAGAACUUUUGGAAACUUGAUUCGUUGUAUUUGUGGUGACAAAUCAAGACAAUGAGAUUUCACACUUGCACAAGCUAAAUUUGCAUAUAACAGUGUAAUUCAUAGUUCUAUUGUAGUGUCACCGUUUUCUAUUGUUUACAAGAAAGUGUCGAAGUAUGCUCUGAAUUUAGUUCGCCUACUAAAGACUCCUGGAAUGAGUGUAGCAGCUAACAACAUGGCUGAGCAAGUACAAUCAUCCCAAGCUGAUGUGAAGAAGUUGGAAGCUACUAAUGCCAAGUACAAGGAAGCAACUGAUAAGCAUAGGAGAGAGAAGGUGUUCAAGGAAGGGGAUAUGGUUAUGGUGUACUUGUGAAAAGAGAGAUUUCCCAUAGGCACUCAUAACAAAUUAAAGUUGAAGAAGUAUGGUCCCUAUAAAGUCUUAAAGAAAAUUAAUAACAAUGCUUAUGUGAUUGAUUUGCCAGAUGAUUGGGGUAUCUCAAAGACCUUCAAUGUUGCAGACUUAUAUGACUACUUUCCAAAUGAGAAUCCAUUGUAUUUAGAUAUAAACACAAGGACGAGUUUUUUCUCAGGUGGAGGGGAUUAAUGCGGAACAAGUAGAAGGAGACUAUUUUCAAAGAGCCUAAAGCUGCCCACUUAUCACUUUAUUUAUCCCACAUUAUUAAUUUUUAUGUUUCUUUCAAUUAUCCCACAUUGUUAGUUAGUUACUUUUCUAGUACUAGUAUAAAUGAUGACCUCCUCUAAGCCUAUGGAAUCAUAAAAAUAUGGCAAUAUCUUCAAGUAUUGUAAAUGUUUUCUCCACUAUAAGGAGUUGAUUUUCCUCAUCCUCCCUUAUAAGGUUAGUUUACUAGAAUCCUUUAUAGUAGUAAUUUCUUAAUUUUGUUUGUGUUCUACGUCAAAUCAUUAUAUCGGUUUAUAUCAGGCUGGAAGGUGACAAAGGUGUUUAUCAUAAUGUUUAUGUAAUUAUUUGAUGAUUAGCAGUAUUCAAGUAUCUGUGAAGAAGUAUAUGAAUAUAUCACAACAUAUCAAUAGCAAAACUCAAGAAAAGUUGAAUGUUUAUAAACAAUUUGAAGAUUUUUUAUGGAAUGUGUUCAAUAUUAUGCUUGUUUUGAGUCCUCCAAAAUUUUCUUUCAAAGCAUAGGAAGCUGAACUUCUUUGAUUCAUUUAUCCAUCCUUGUUUAACAUGUUUUUCACUUGUUUAUUGACUUAUUCUUUGUGUUUUCGAUGCUUUAGAAGUCUUAUAUAAUGGUGUUUGCUUUCUUCUAACAUGCAGAUAUGACUAUUCAGGAUAUGGAGCAUCUACUGGUAAGGGUACCGAAGAUGAUGUAGUGAAUUGGCUUCAUGGACAUGGUUUAUGGAAACUAGCGGAAGAACCGUACGAUCCCUUAUGGAUCAAAGGAGGAGGUCAUUGCAACCUAGAGUUAUAUCCAGACUACAUCCGUCACCUAUGCAAGUUUAUUCAGGAAAUGGAGAACCUCACGACUGCAACCCGGCUCAAGAAGAUCCGGCAAACUCUCAAACUCCCUGCCAAAGCUGUCGCAACCACCAGCACCACCACCUUCACGACCAACUGUUGCUGCCAAAUUAGAUGCAGGAA
Molecule: non-coding RNA, 5158 nt
Organism: Musa acuminata subsp. malaccensis (wild Malaysian banana)
Lineage: Eukaryota; Viridiplantae; Streptophyta; Magnoliopsida; Zingiberales; Musaceae
Source: RefSeq, a predicted model, not a curated record